GUGUAAAGGAACUUGUGAUUGGCAUUCUCAGCAUCACAGCUUUGUGAACAUGGAUCGACUUCGACAGGUCAAGAAAACAACGACCUGCAGACGGAGAUUGAACCUAACACUACCAAGCAAUACAUGGGUCAUGGGAUGGGACGAAAGAGAAGAGAAGGGUGAAGGGACAUGCAGGAUGCGCAUAGCAGAGCAGACACGCACGCACAAGGACGUCGUCUCAUGGCCAGGUGGUGAACUCGAAGACCUUGCCGACGAUCUCGAGCCCGGUGGGGAUCUGCCAGACGAAGAGCAGGACGUUGACGGCGUUGAGCGCGAUGUGCAGGCUGCGGGCCGUCUCGUCCCCCUUCUGCAUCGCCGGGACGAGCGCGGCCGCGGCGGCCCACAGCACGGUGAUGGCGGCGCCCGCGAAGAGGUGCGGGCCCGGGAACAGCUUGCCGGUGCGGAACCAGGUGUUGAGCGCGCCGCCGACGGACUCGAGCACGCCGAGGCCGAGGAGGAGGGAGCCCGCGUUGAAGUGGCGGUCCCGGAACGACCCCUUGAGCAGCGCCUUCCGCUCGUCGGUGAGCUCCUCGAUCCGGGCCUCCGCCGGCGACGGCGACUUGCUGGCCGCAGCGGGCGGCGGGGUUGUGGUGGAGGAGGAGUCCGCGCCGGCGCCGACCGCCGCGGGAGUGGCCGCGGCGGCGGGCUUGAGCUGCUUCUUGAGCGCGUUGAUCUCGUCCUGGACGGUGCGCACCCGGCGCCACUGCCAGCCGAGGUACCCCGCCCAGAGCGUGUACGCGAAGAGCCCGCCCAUGAUGAGCGGGUGCAGCAGCGCGAAGCUGCGGCCCUCGAGGAUCCCCAACUCGCCGCCCACCGCCAGCGCCGCGUCCGCCGGCAGCAGCAGCAGCGCCGCCACCGCCGCCGCGGACACCGGCGCCACCGCCUCCAUGGGAGGCCUGGAGCACCGGCACCGGGUGGUGCCUGGUGGUAGUAGACGCGGCCUGCUGCUCUUGGACGGAGGGGCCGGCCGGCCGGUGGUACCGGCUGCCGUGCAGGUCACUGGGAGGAGGAGGAGGCGGGCCCGGACGGCCGUGAGCGGCGCGGCCAUGGCGCUGCUGCUUCUUCCCUUGGCGUGUGGUCGGUGAGGCGGUGACAGACACUGAC
This 1143-nucleotide unclassified non-coding RNA is filed under the name Zea mays. Its description in RNAcentral is "misc RNA Zm00001eb208470". Lineage: Eukaryota; Viridiplantae; Streptophyta; Magnoliopsida; Poales; Poaceae. The record is from RNAcentral.